GGAAUAAUAGUUUAAUUUUAAAAUAUUUAAUUUGCAUUUAAAUGAUAUUGAUUUAAUUUAUUUUAUUUAA
Molecule: transfer RNA, 70 nt
Filed under: Paroligoneurus sp. QL-2014
Lineage: Eukaryota; Metazoa; Arthropoda; Insecta; Hymenoptera; Braconidae
Description: tRNA-Ala
Source: RNAcentral